AUCAUUCUGUAGUUCAUAAGCAUGAUGAUUGGGUAUUCACAUGGAUGUGUGAAAUGUGCCAUCCACAAACAUUGUUAUGAUGUUAGCACAUUACCCGUCUGACA
Small nucleolar RNA from Colobus angolensis palliatus, 104 nucleotides. The record is from Ensembl. Lineage: Eukaryota; Metazoa; Chordata; Mammalia; Primates; Cercopithecidae.